This 327-nucleotide unclassified non-coding RNA is filed under the name soil metagenome. RNAcentral's name for it is "partial contains 5.8S ribosomal RNA, internal transcribed spacer 2, and large subunit ribosomal RNA". The stretch from base 1 to 120 matches the Rfam family "5.8S ribosomal RNA", at positions 35 to 154 of the family's 154-position model. The record is from RNAcentral.
GAUGAAGAACGUAGCGAAAUGCGAUAAGUAAUGUGAAUUGCAGAAUUCAGUGAAUCAUCGAAUCUUUGAACGCACAUUGCGCCCCUUGGUAUUCCGGGGGGCAUGCCUGUUCGAGCGUCAUUAUAACCCCUCAAGCUCAGCUUGGUGUUGGGGCCUGCCGACUGGCAGCCCUUAAAAUCAGUGGCGGCGCCAUCUGGUUCUAAGCGUAGUAAUUUCUCUCGCUAUAGAGUCCCGGUGGAUGCUUGCCAGCAACCCCCAACUUUCUAUGGUUGACCUCGGAUCAGGUAGGGAUACCCGCUGAACUUAAGCAUAUCAAUAAGCGGAGGA